GACGAACGCUGGCGGCGUGCUUAACACAUGCAAGUCGAACGGAAAGGCCCUGCUUUUGUGGGGUGCUCGAGUGGCGAACGGGUGAGUAACACGUGAGUAACCUGCCCUUGACUUUGGGAUAACUUCAGGAAACUGGGGCUAAUACCGGAUAGGAGCUCCUGCUGCAUGGUGGGGGUUGGAAAGUUUCGGCGGUUGGGGAUGGACUCGCGGCUUAUCAGCUUGUUGGUGGGGUAGUGGCUUACCAAGGCUUUGACGGGUAGCCGGCCUGAGAGGGUGACCGGCCACAUUGGGACUGAGAUACGGCCCAGACUCCUACGGGAGGCAGCAGUGGGGAAUAUUGCACAAUGGGCGGAAGCCUGAUGCAGCAACGCCGCGUGCGGGAUGACGGCCUUCGGGUUGUAAAACGCUUUAGCCUGUGACGAAGCGUGAGUGACGGUAAUGGGUAAAGAAGCACCGGCUAACUACGUG
This 468-nucleotide ribosomal RNA is filed under the name uncultured bacterium. RNAcentral's name for it is "partial 16S ribosomal RNA". It matches the Rfam family "Bacterial small subunit ribosomal RNA", at positions 28 to 507 of the family's 1533-position model. The record is from RNAcentral.